This 290-nucleotide ribosomal RNA is filed under the name Morganella morganii. RNAcentral's name for it is "partial 16S ribosomal RNA". It matches the Rfam family "Bacterial small subunit ribosomal RNA", at positions 487 to 776 of the family's 1533-position model. Lineage: Bacteria; Pseudomonadati; Pseudomonadota; Gammaproteobacteria; Enterobacterales; Morganellaceae. The record is from RNAcentral.
GAAGCACCGGCUAACUCCGUGCCAGCAGCCGCGGUAAUACGGAGGGUGCAAGCGUUAAUCGGAAUUACUGGGCGUAAAGCGCACGCAGGCGGUUGAUUGAGUCAGAUGUGAAAUCCCCGGGCUUAACCCGGGAAUUGCAUCUGAUACUGGUCAGCUAGAGUCUUGUAGAGGGGGGUAGAAUUCCAUGUGUAGCGGUGAAAUGCGUAGAGAUGUGGAGGAAUACCGGUGGCGAAGGCGGCCCCCUGGACAAAGACUGACGCUCAGGUGCGAAAGCGUGGGGAGCAAACAGG